UGGAGCAUGUGGUUAAUUCGAAGCAACGCGAAGAACCUUAACCAGGCCUUGACAUGCAGAGAACUUUCCAGAGAUGGAUUGGUGCCUUCGGGAACUCUGACACAGGUGCUGCAUGGCUGCCGUCAGCUCGUGUCGUGAGAUGUUGGGUUAAGUCCCGUAACGAGCGCAACCCUUGUCCUUAGUUACCAGCACGUUAUGGUGGGCACUCUAAGGAGACUGCCGGUGACAAACCGGAGGAAGGUGGGGAUGACGUCAAGUCAUCAUGGCCCUUACGGCCUGGGCUACACACGUGCUACAAUGGUCGGUACAAAGGGUUGCCAAGCCGCGAGGUGGAGCUAAUCCCAUAAAACCGAUCGUAGUCCGGAUCGCAGUCUGCAACUCGACUGCGUGAAGUCGGAAUCGCUAGUAAUCGUGGAUCAGAAUGUCACGGUGAAUACGUUCCCGGGCCUU
This 450-nucleotide ribosomal RNA is filed under the name uncultured Pseudomonas sp. RNAcentral's name for it is "bacterial SSU rRNA". It matches the Rfam family "Bacterial small subunit ribosomal RNA", at positions 933 to 1382 of the family's 1533-position model. Lineage: Bacteria; Pseudomonadati; Pseudomonadota; Gammaproteobacteria; Pseudomonadales; Pseudomonadaceae. The record is from RNAcentral.